UACAGAGGGGGCAAGCGUUAUUCGGAAUUAUUGGGCGUAAAGGGCGCGUAGGCGGCCUGGCAAGUGGAAGGUGAAAUCCCUCGGCUUAACCGAGGAACUGCCCUCCAAACUGCUUGGCUUGAGUCCGGGAGAGGUGAGUGGAAUUCCCAGUGUAGCGGUGAAAUGCGUAGAUAUCGGGAAGAACACCAGUGGCGAAGGCGGCCGACUGGACGGCACCUGACGCUGAGGCGCGAAAGUGUGGGGAGCAAACGGG
Molecule: ribosomal RNA, 253 nt
Filed under: uncultured bacterium
Lineage: Bacteria
Description: partial 16S ribosomal RNA
Rfam family: Bacterial small subunit ribosomal RNA
Source: RNAcentral